UAGGUCACACAUUCCAGGCUCUGACACAAC
Molecule: non-coding RNA, 30 nt
Filed under: Mus musculus (house mouse)
Lineage: Eukaryota; Metazoa; Chordata; Mammalia; Rodentia; Muridae
Source: RNAcentral